UACGUAGGUGACAAGCGUUGUCCGGAUUUACUGGGCGUAAAGGGCGCGUAGGCGGCCCGUCAAGUCCCGUGUGAAAGCCCCCGGCUCAACCGGGGAACGGCGCGGGAAACUAGCAGGCUUGAGUUCGGGAGAGGGAAGCGGAAUUCCGGGUGUAGCGGUGAAAUGCGCAGAUAUCCGGAGGAACACCGGUGGCGAAGGCGGCUUCCUGGACCGACACUGACGCUGAGGCGCGAAAGCUAGGGGAGCAAACGGG
Molecule: ribosomal RNA, 253 nt
Filed under: uncultured bacterium
Lineage: Bacteria
Description: partial 16S ribosomal RNA
Rfam family: Bacterial small subunit ribosomal RNA
Source: RNAcentral